Molecule: ribosomal RNA, 253 nt
Filed under: uncultured bacterium
Lineage: Bacteria
Description: partial 16S ribosomal RNA
Rfam family: Bacterial small subunit ribosomal RNA
Source: RNAcentral
UACGUAGGGUCCAAGCGUUAUCCGGAUUUAUUGGGCGUAAAGCACAUGUAGGUGGUUAUGUAAGUCUUGUCUUAAAGCUCUGAGCUUAACUCAGAUUCUGGACGAGAUACUGUAUGACUUGUGGUCAGCAGGGGCAAAUGGAAUUCCCGGUGUAGGAGUGAAAUCCGUUGAUAUCGGGAGGAACACCAAUGGCGAAGGCAAUUUGCUAGGCUGAUUCAGACACUGAGAUGUGAAAGCGUGGGGAGCGAACGGG